Molecule: long non-coding RNA, 2209 nt
Filed under: Cricetulus griseus (Chinese hamster)
Lineage: Eukaryota; Metazoa; Chordata; Mammalia; Rodentia; Cricetidae
Description: lncRNA (ENSCGRG00015040233.1)
Source: RNAcentral
AGCACUGUUAUCCACUGAGCCACGCCACUGUCAGAGUGUCCCAUUCCAAAUGAGCUGUCUAAAAUUGGAACGGAGGGUGAAGGCGAGUGAAAGAAGGUGACCGAGCCAGGAGGAGAGAGAGCACAGAUGGCUUGGUGGUGGUAUGGUGUGCUCCAUCGGCUGCCAACCUAGGGCCAUCGCCUGCCUCCAUCACCCGUUCGCCGCCUGCCCACCACCCAAUCCCAAAUGGGUACUGGAUCAGGUGCCGAAUCUGGCUGCCUCCUCGGGUACCAGCCACUGCAUUGCUGUGUGUCUGCCACCGCUGCCUGGCACUCAUGGGGCCGUGUGUGUAUGUGUGUGUGCGCGCGCAUGUACGUGUACGCAUACGCGCGCGUGUUGUAUGUGAGCCUCCUGGGCAUGGGUGGGGGUUGGCAUUGCGGUUGCCACUGUAGCAUCCAACUAGAAGGACAGAAGGGUAGAGUAGAAGAAGGAGGGGAGAGGUGUGGGGCCUUGGAGGGGAGAAGAGGGUGCAUGAUUGCAGGCAUUGGCACUGCAGCUGCCACCCUUGUGCCCAUGGAGAUAGGAGGGGCAGCGGCAGGAGUCCCCAUGCUCUGGGAGGAAGGUGCGGCACACGAGAGCUGUUGGCAUCACAACUGUUGGGCUUGUGCCCAGGCCUGGGGUUAUGGGGACUAGAGGGACGAGGAGAUAGAGAGGGGAUGCACUGCUGAUGCCGCUGUCCCUCUAGAAUGAGUUCUGAGAAGUGUUGGGGCUAUGAAGGAGUCAUCUCUGUUCCAGUCUAGAGAGCAAAGUGAAGAGAGUAGGUGGGGAAGAGCCAAGAAAGGAUGGAAAAGGUGGGAGAACUACUACCCAGGGAGAACUUGUUUGGGCUAGCAGUGUGGCCUUUUCAGAGAACACCCAAGAAGACAGCAGGGGAACUUGGGUACAAGAGAAGCUGGUACUGCCCAUGGAGCCUGGCAUGGCUCUGGUGUUGUGUGGAAGGCCCCUCUAUUUUGGCAGAGAAAGUUGUUGUGCCAGGAGUUAGGUGGAGAGAUGAAGGAUGUUUUCUUUGGGAGAACAGACUGUUUUUCUGCCAGGCCCUCCUUCCCAUUCCCUGUUAGGCAUGGAUUGCUGAAUGACAGAUGGAGUGCCGUAUGAGGACACAAUGGAGGAAGCAUGCCAUUGCUAAGACUCCCAGGAAGAAGAGUGGUGAGCCUGACAGUCCUGCUGGCCUCCAGUCAUUCCACUGCUGACACUGGCUGUGUCCUCUAGCCUGCUCUGUAUGUACCAUUAUUGCAGGGAGGGGUUGCAUGUGAAGCUGGGCUGUGAAAUGGAAGGAGUACCUUUUUUUUUUUUUUCUUUUUUGUGGAUCUCAUUUGUACUGUCCACUCUUACAAGUGUGACUGAUUUUUAUCCCUGGUACCUCCCUCUCCUUUCCCUCUCUUUGCCUACCCCCUCUUUCAUCAUCACCAUCUGGGUCCUAUUGCUUGGCACCCAACCAAGUAGAUUCCGCCACAAUUGGCAGUAUUGCACUGGCAUGUGACCAGUGACUCAGAUGCUGGCACUGCGGCAAACCCAAAGCUGCCAAAUUUGCUCAAGACACCACUUGGCGGCAAUGAUGGAGAGGGGUCAUGUGCAUAGAAGUGCCAGGCUGGGUGGAGCUCCAUAUUGGGAAGUGGCACACGAGGCUGUCCUUCACAGAUGGACUGAAGUCAGCAUUCACUGCAACAUCUCACCUCUGCUGUCGCCAAACAGGACACUCAUCUCUGUCUGCCGUCAUUAACUCCAAUAUACUGUUUUUGAGCAGCUAGGCAAAGGAAUCUAGACAUCAUCUAUAGCCACACCUAAAGCCAGUGGCUGUGUACUUCUCUGGGUAGCUAGGACAGACAAAAAAUUGGAGAGUGAAAAGGCCUGGAGAGAGACUUGAGGCUAUGCUGUUACUCAGACAGUACCAAAACAGAGUGAAAGGAGACCUUCAGGCUUUGCUAUUAGGGAGUGGCUGUGUUUUACAUGUGUUUCCUACUGUCCUGUGGUUGAGAUGAACUAGUCCCUUGUCCUUUAUUCAAAUGUCCCUAGAAGAAUGAGAGGCACUGUAGAACUGGAGAGGUGCGGUGUAGCCAAGACAAGGGCACCCAGGACUUCUACAAAGACUAAGAUUUUAUGUUUAGGGAUUUCCCAAUGACACCCCAAAUAGGACCAGACUAACAUCUGCCUUUGAAAUUUGCUCUUGGAA